Molecule: ribosomal RNA, 253 nt
Filed under: uncultured bacterium
Lineage: Bacteria
Description: partial 16S ribosomal RNA
Rfam family: Bacterial small subunit ribosomal RNA
Source: RNAcentral
UACGUAGGGUGCGAGCGUUGUCCGGAAUUAUUGGGCGUAAAGAGCUUGUAGGCGGUUUGUCGCGUCUGCUGUGAAAAUCCGGGGCUCAACCCCGGACUUGCAGUGGGUACGGGCAGACUAGAGUGCGGUAGGGGAGAAUGGAACUCCUGGUGUAGCGGUGGAAUGCGCAGAUAUCAGGAAGAACACCGAUGGCGAAGGCAGUUCUCUGGGCCGUAACUGACGCUGAGGAGCGAAAGCGUGGGGAGCGAACAGG